ACUAAACAGAUAAGAAAAAAAUAGAUAAGAUGUUAAAGCACUAAACCUCUUGUUCCAUCGAGUGGAUCAUGUCAAGGAGCUACAUGCUUCAAUCCAUCAUAUUAGAAACAACUGGAGAAGGGAAAAAUGGUUUUACCGAGAGAAGGGAGAUUUUUUUUUUUUCGAAUUUGCAAUGCUCACUGAAGCAACGGAGAGUUAUAAUGAGUCUAGAAUUUAUAAUAAAUUGCUAAUAACCUAGGUCGUUUCUAGUGAUUGAUAUUUAGGUUAUCAAUAUUCUAUGCAUUAGUGAACUUGCAUAUUUUUGAAUUUUGUUUUCCAGUUUGGAUUAUUCUAGCCAACGAUUUUAUGAGAAAAAAUAUUUUCUUUUGAAAAAAAAAACAAGAGUUUAAUUUAAUCCGUUUAUAAUAUUGUAUAAACAACAAAGAUGGUUUUUCUCCAAAUAAAUUACUUCAACUGAUAAAAG
RNAcentral lists this long non-coding RNA (463 nucleotides) under Carica papaya (papaya). Its description in RNAcentral is "long non-coding RNA (CPAP_LNC015187)". The record is from RNAcentral. Lineage: Eukaryota; Viridiplantae; Streptophyta; Magnoliopsida; Brassicales; Caricaceae.